CCUUCGUUCGGCGUUGGCCGCAUCAUGUACUCGCUCCUUGGGAACAGCUUCCGAAAGCGCUAAGGCGAGGAACAGCGCAGCUAAUUCUCGCUGACCCCGAUCGUGCCCCCCCCCUCAAGUGCUUUCGUACUGCCGCUGAGCAACAACACCGACUUCUCCCCAUUCAGGAAGAAGAUCUCUUCGGCCCAGCGUGAACAUCUCGCACAAGGUGAACGACUCGAGUGGCUCGAUCAGUGGACAGACGAGCUGGUUGGGAGUAAUCUACGACCGCCGAUGUUUCCGGCAAGCGGGACGGCAUGGACCAGAGCGAAAGUACGGUGGAUGAAAGCUAUCCGAGCGGAUAAUGGUCAAGGCAGGAAAAUUUCAUCUCUAGUGGAAGUCACCUUGCUUGACGGAUUCCGGCGAUUUGGUCCGCAGUUCAGCACCGUCGACGCGGCCAACAGACUUCAGCGGUGCGAUUCCUCAGAGGUACUGUCUGGAACAUUAGUGUAAUAUAUUGUGAAACAUUCAAAUUUUAGUAAUUAAAAAAUGGGGAUUCAUGG
Long non-coding RNA from Culex quinquefasciatus (southern house mosquito), 542 nucleotides. RefSeq lists it as uncharacterized. The transcript is spliced from 2 exons. The record is from RefSeq and is a predicted model, not a curated record. NCBI's taxonomy places the organism in Eukaryota, Metazoa, Arthropoda, Insecta, Diptera, Culicidae.